This is an RNA transcript of Penaeus monodon (black tiger shrimp), 7713 nucleotides long. It is a transcript of the gene named voltage-dependent L-type calcium channel subunit beta-1-like, with no coding region annotated. Lineage: Eukaryota; Metazoa; Arthropoda; Malacostraca; Decapoda; Penaeidae. The record is from RefSeq and is a predicted model, not a curated record.
GGUUCGGCUGACUCGAACUAUUCCCAGCCGUCCUCGGACCUAUCGCUGGACGAGGAGAGAGAGAACCUACGCCGUGAGACCGAACGACAGGCGCUCUCCCAGCUUGAGAAGGCCAGGGGGCACCAUCGGGACAGCGGGGUCAGGCGCAGAACGGAGGGCCAGGCAUUCGUCACUCUUCAGGCAGCCAGGACUAAACCCGUGGCGUUCUCCGUGCGUACCAAUGUGGCCUACGAUGGUUCUCUGGAUGACGACUCGCCAGUGCACGGCUCGGCCAUCUCUUUCGAUGUCAAGGACUUCCUCCACAUUAAGGAGAAGUAUGACAACAACUGGUGGAUUGGGCGUCUGGUGAAGGAAGGUGCAGAUGUUGGGUUCAUCCCGUCACCCGUUAAGCUCGAGAACCUGCGCCUACAGCAGACCCAACAGAAGAACUCCAAGCUCUACCCCAAAAACUCGUCAUCGGGUAACCUAGGAUUGAUAAAUGAUGUUUUAACCAAUAGCAAGAGUCCCAACUCUCGAGGAUCCACUCCCCCCACUCCUGGAAUUGACCUCGACAACGGAUUAGACUCCAAUGUGGGUGACGACUCCGAUUCCCUGGGCAACGCCAAGGGGAAGAGUUCCAUCACAACCCCACCAGCCAAGGAGAAGCGGAAGCCCUUCUUUAAGAAACAGGAGAACAUUCCUCCGUACGAUGUCGUGCCUUCCAUGCGCCCGCUAGUGCUUGUUGGCCCAUCCCUCAAAGGGUAUGAGGUCACAGACAUGAUGCAGAAGGCGCUCUUUGAUUACAUUAAGCACAGAUUCGAGGGGAAGGUAAUCAUUACACGGGUGAGUGCUGAUAUCUCUCUUGCAAAACGGAGUCUCCUAAACAACCCAAACAAACGUGCUCUUAUGGAACGAUCCAACUCCAGAUCUUCUUGUAUAGCAGAAGUUCAGGCUGAAAUAGAACGAAUAUUUGAACUAGCAAGAACUCUACAGUUAGUGGUGCUCGAUUGUGACACUAUUAACCACCCGUCUCAACUUGCUAAGACAUCUCUGGCACCUAUUCUUGUAUACCUCAAGAUCUCGUCUCCUAAGGUACUGCAGCGUUUAAUAAAAUCACGGGGAAAAUCUCAGAGUCGCAACUUGAGUGUUCAGAUGGUUGCAGCAGAAAAAUUAGCCCAGUGUCCACCAGAGAUGUUUGAUGUGAUUCUUGAUGAAAAUCAGCUUGAGGACGCAUGCGAACAUAUAGCAGAGUAUCUCGAUGCCUACUGGCAAGCAACGCAUCCUCCGUUACCUCCACCCCAGAUUCAGAGACCAAUUCCAUCACCACAUACAAGUCCGCGGUCUAACCAUGCGCAAGGAAGUCUCAUGCGGACUAAUUCUACGCCUCCAGGUCCGCCCGGGUCCGUGGCUCGUGAGCCCGGCUACCCUCGCUAUCCGGAUGAGAGAGGUAAUGCUCCGGGAAGCAACCCAUCCCAGUAGUUAGUGUGGCCCAUCUGGCUUGGCCAUUGCUCGCCUCUUGGCGGAUGUGGCCAGCCAGGGUGGCCCACCUUCCACGACAGCACCACAUCAGCUGUGUACCAUCGUGGAGGCCCAACCGGACAUGGGGGGCCACGAGCACUCCCAUCCCGUGACCCUAGAGACCUGCGAGACCCACGCGAUAGAGACCUACGCGAUGAUGAGUAUGUCGACAGGCUUCCCCCACAAGACCCUGGGCUCAUGUACGACCGCCCACCAGACCGGCCCGGGCGAAGGCAGUUGCCCCCCACCAGGGAUGAUGAUUACCACUCCCCCCACCGCCCCCCCACACGCCAAGCCCUCAAUGUGUAGCAAUUAGCCCUUGUUUGUAGCAGUUAGUGCUUGUUUGUAGCAAUUAUUGCUCAUUUUUAGCCUUCUGCUAUGUUCAAGUCCAUAUAAUGGUAGAUUAUUAAGACACCUCUUGGUAUUCACUGCUCUUUUUAGGGUUGAGAAUUACUGGAAAUGCUUGUGAAGGCUAUACAUGGAAUGGCUACCAACAUUCACUGCUAACUCAGUCCAAGCUACUGAACACUCUGGCACCUUCUAGUAUCUUGUGGUUGAGGCAGUAAUGGAAAAAUGACUCUUGGUUAUGAUAAGUUAACUAGAGAAUUCUUAAAAAAGUCUCCACCAUUCUGCCUACUUGGAGAAAGCAUAUUGUGGGCAGUGGUUGUCUCAAAGCCAUAUGCAUAAAAGUUGGGAUUCUCCUGAACUGUACAUUGUGAUAGUCCAAUUUUGAGGUUGCAAAAUCAGUGUCACCUACUAGCCCUUCUGAAGCAUAAUACAUCUGUUUAUCCCCUCACCUAACCCCCCAGCUGCCUUACACAAAUAACCCCUUAUUAAAGAAGAGAGUAGAAGUCCUAGCCAUGGGGCCAUUAUUAGAGCUGUCCUAUGAGAUUAUCAUACAUGAGAACUGGAUACCUACAAUCAACUGAAGGCAUAUGGUACUGACCGGAAAUUUUGUUUUUUUUCUCUCUCUUUUUUCACACGUCUUGUAAUUCUGUACUUUAUAGACUUUUUGGACAAGUUUGGUUUAUUGAGAGGUCUGUGAUUGAUUGUGGAAAACCCAAAUCCCAUAAAUGAUAAUGUUCAUUUGCAUUGGCUCAUAUUGUGCCACUCAACUUCUCUAUGAAUGAUGUUUAAGAGUUCUGCCCCUGAGCCUUAGGCAGAGAUGCUGUGGAAAUUGUACGGGCUGGACAUUAUAAAUAGCAGUGUAAAUAUAGUUGGUUGUACACUAAGGAUCGGCACAUUAUCCUUUGCCCAAGUUGUUCUUAAACUGCCUUUUAACCACUGUAGUGUUGGAUAUUACACUAGUUUAUUACACUAGUUUUUAAUAUUUUCACUUUGUAGCUUGGAACUGUUUCUUAGGUUUACCAUUUUAUAUUCCAUAGUUGUUCACUUUGCAUUUUAAUCAGCCCAAUAAUGCAAAGUUAUUUUACAUCUAACAUUUGAAGUUGGACGAAGUUCAAAUUUUUAUAUGACAAUUUUUCUGAAUAAUCCUAAUAGUAAAGUGAUAAAAGAAUAAGAUUUGUGCAGAAACAGAGCAGUUAGUAAUGGAUAUUAUCAGUUAGAUUUUUGUUCUACUGUUUUGGGAUAGAGGUCUCAUAAUCACAUUUUGAACCAUCUAAACUUUUGCCACUUGAUUAAACUCCUGAUUCAAAAAUGUGAUAGUAGAGUAUUAACCAGGCUUUGAGAAUUGACCAUGGUAAGCUUUAUGGUAUUACUGUACCUUUUUUAUGUAAUUAAUAUGAACUUUUAAGACCAAAAGCAUUCAUCAUUGCAGUUGUUGUUGUUGUACCCUUCCUAAUAGUGAAAUUGCAUCAAUUUCUACACCAAUAUAUUCUUAUUCUAUAAAGACUUUGCAAGUGUACAUCACAAAGAGAAUAUCACUUGCUUCUCAAGACUUUUAAGAAUGCUCAGCUGAUGUUAUGUCAAACUUUACUUUGUGUUAUAUACACAAUUUACAUUUAUUAAUUUGCUAUUGUUAAGUAUAUAAGUUCUACAAUGACGUAAUUUAACAGAGUUCAUUUUACACAUUUUUUGUGUAUUGCAAAGUUUCCAUCUGCUGGUUGACCCAGCUAAGGUACUAGCCAUUGUUCACAUACUCUUUGUUGUAAGGCCAGAAUUGAGGAGUAAUAGAAAGGAUGAGAUAAAUGGUACCUCUGAGUACUAAUCAGAAAUAUUUGGCUUCCUUGCUGAGUGAGGAAUUUAAACCAGCAGACAGUGAGGCAUUCAAUCAAAAUGUAGAUUAAAGUCACAAGAUUCUCAUACUCAGCUUUGUAUGACACUCUACAAUUUGGUCACCGCAGUUUGCUCGUGUUGUAUUAUAGCUUUUGGAUCUCCUGCUUUCCAUUAUUAUUCCUGUCUGUUUCAUUUGUAAUUUGCUGUACACCUACAUAGUUUUUAAGAUGCUACAAAACCACUUGUAGUUUACCUGUCCUGUUUUAUUUGUGUUAUCCUUCAUUUGCUUACAAUUUGUAUGUAAAUACUAUGUUAUUAACUUUCUUCUUUGAAAUGCCUAGUUUAGCCUUUUUUUUUUUUUAGUUAUGGGCAUUCAGUACUGAAUAUCUCUGUAUAAGAUGAGCUGUUCCUGCAUAUUCUUGUGGAAAUGUUAAUUGCAACAAAGAGUAUUUUUUUGCACUUACCCAAGAUACUUGUUAAUAAGGUAACUCUGCAUAAGUUUGAUUGAGGAAGUAUUGUAUAGAAGGAAAAAGACUUGUUUAUGUUUUGCAAUAUCAGCUGCAUCCAGAAAACUUCGGUUUAGUACGAAGAUCUUUAAGAUGUUCUAUUCGAACUGUGAGGUAUAAUUUACAGUUGAAUCCUAACCCUAUGGGAUGUUUGUAGAUAUUAAAAACAAACUUUUUAUCACUAAACAUAUAUAGUAUUACCAAGAAUACUUCAGUAGGCUUUAGUAGCAUGCACACCAUAAACCCUCAAUAAAAUACUUCUGUUUUCCUCUUUCAAAAGAGCUAUUCAUUUUGAGAUAACUUCAUAUGUACUGAUGAUACACUACAUAUGUGCAGACAACUCAAAGGCCAAAUUCAUAAUGGUAAUCCUGUAGCUCCUAAGUUCUAGCUAUAUUUUAUAUAGAAUCAUUCAUCCUCAGGAUUCAUACACAGACUCUAGUAGAAAAGGGGAUUAUCAUAAGUAAUUUUCAUUUGCUUAAGGUCUAAUGAAUAACAUGAUCAAAACACUACAUGUCAAAUUGUUCUCUCUGCAACACUAUACAGCAGUAUCUCAGUUUACCAACAAUCCAACUUAUUAUAGCACAAGAUAGUGUGAUAUUACUACCAUAAUGUUUUUUUUUCUUUGUUUCCUUUCAAAUUUUCUUCUUUUUGUAAGGAUUAUGUAAUGUCUUCUCCACAUUCUCUUUGAGUGUUGCCGAUCCUUGAGUUGUGAGGCUGGGUUGAAUAAUACUUUUUAACCUAAUGGUGUUUGAGAAUAAUUUUUUGGUUUCCCUGUUGAGUGUCUGAAUGAUGAUAAUCUUGUAUGUGGUUAAACAAAAUACAUGCAUUAUCUUAAAAGCAAAACAAAAAAUGUUUAUAGGUAUGCAUCUUUUGAUCCCACUUUGUCCUGUCAACUUGUAAACUAAGGCACACAGGCAGGAGGUCUAAAGCUCCUCUUCCAAUAUGUACCUAAAAUGAUUAUUCAAUUUUCACCUUAUUUACAUGCUUCAUUGUGUUAUUUUUCAAGUUGAUUGUUCGUCUUUAUGUUUUUGUCUCAACUUUUUACAGUCUUUUAUGCAUUAUAAUCUGUUUUACUCUUUAUUUGAGAUUAAAUUCAUCUUCUUUUAAAUCAGAUAUACCUGCCACUUUGAGGGAAGAUUGAUUGCAAUCCAUAUUCUUUGUAUUAUUGUUUGUGUUUGAAUUAUGACUAAAAUAUGCAGAAUGACUGAACAAAUUAUUUUAGGUACUAAAUGACUCUGUUCCAUUACAGAUAGGUUUUAUCUACAUAACAUUAUAGCAAGACACAUUAUCUCUUGCAGUAGUGUCAUAUACUUUUGAUGUGAAUUCUAAAGUAAACUAACAACAGAUGAUAUAAUUUUAUUAGAUGGGAAGUAAAGUAAGAACAAUAUAGAUCACAUACAUAUAUUUUGAAAAUACAGACAUACAAAAGUACAUCUAGAAUAAAGAAAAUGUAUAAACAUCCAUGUUUACAUAUACAAACACAGGGAAAUGACAUGAAUACAUAUAAAUGCCUAUAGUUGUGCAAUCAUGCAUACUUCAUUAAAAAAAAAACAAGAACAUUGUAUCUUACAGAUUAGAAAUUAAAUAUUCAAUGAGUACAAAAUUUAGAUGCACAUAGCAUAACAAGGUCACCAACUAACUCAUCUCUCAGACAAAAUUCUAAAACAAUUUGUUGUGGAUUAAAACUCCAUAUUCACAGUACUUUAAGUCACUGUAAUGGUACUUUUGUCAGUGUAUGUAAUAGCAAGUUGGCUGUAGAAACUUCAGUAAUGUUUUAGAAUUUUGUUCCCCCUCACACACACAAGCGCCUCAUUCUUACUCUGCCUCACUUUUUCUCCAAGUUCAUGGGCAGUAUUCUUGAGAAGCACUUGAGGGAAACAAUCGAGCGGUUCCUUCUCCUGCUUUAGUCAAAAGUUUUUAGUUCCGUUAGCCCACCAGGACUCAAGAGUUGCCGCCCUGAUGAUGGUUUCAACUUCUUGUGCAUCUUCAGAGUUUUGCCCCAAAUGCUGUGAUUAACAGUUUUCCCAUUAGAAGGGAUGAAUUUAUUUCUCUGAGAGCAUUAUCAGAGUUUAACUAUGUGAAUAUCUUUAAUAUCUUUCUUGCUGCCUCCAUCACACUCUCAUGUACAAACCCUGAGUCCUUCCUCCACUCUCCUCAAUUCCUAGAUUAAUUCUUGUACAUCAUUGCUGUCAUCAACCACCUACAGACAAACCUCUCCUUGCGGCGCUUUUUACCAGUAGCAAAACUUGUUUAAUUUGUAUAAACUGGAUGUAAACCAUACCUCUUUAAGAUAAUCAAAGAAAAGAAUUUAUGGAAACAGUGUAAGUACUCAUUUCAAAAUGGAAUAUGAGGUUUGACUGUGGAAAAGUUGCUGCUAUAAAGGUUCUUAAACCAACAAGGAACCUACUGCUUUCUGCCAGUCUAAGCCUCUAGUAGCCUCACAACAAGGUUCAUUUUCUUUACAUUGUAUUUGCAGAUGUGUGAGGUUCGUGAAUCUAACAGAUUUUCUUGUCUGUUACAUUUAUAUUGAUAGACUUCACUAUAUUAACCAUUUGACUAGCAGUACUAUACUGUGUUUGUAUCAUAUAUAUAUUUUUUUCAACAAUGACAGCUUUGGAAGUCUGCGCAACAAAAUACCCCAAAAGAAAAAGAAUCUUGUAUAGGCUUUCUAUUGGCUGAACCUUAGCAGCUGCAUUUCACAUGGCAUUUUGUAAUCUUUAUGAACCCCCUCACAGAAGACAUCUUUGCAUCAUGAAGUUUUGCCAAGAUUUUAUGUUUUUUUAACAGAAUGCAUGUGCCUUUUCUAGUUCUUGUUAUUCAUGCUAGGGUAUAUGCCUCUCAGUCUUGAUAACAAAUGUUAUACUCACCUCCAGCCUUAUAUCAUUACUAACUUAACACAUCUUUCAUUCCUUCUUUUAAAAUUCAUUAGUUUAGCAUGUGAGACUUCAUUGUUCUUGGCACCUGCAGUAGAUGAUUAUAUAGCUGGCAUGAUGCAAAGAUGUUUUUACUAUUUUUUUCAUAUUCUCCCAUUAUUUAAAAAGCAUUCUCUUCCAUCCUGUUCUGUAUUUUAUCAUCCCAUAAGUUAUAAGUACAGUAGCUUCUGGUUAAUAUGACUGCUUUUGGUGGUAACGGAGUUACCAUUUUUCAUAAUGCCUUGUGGCUGUAAUAAAUAUCGGGUAUCUGCAUGAGUGGUAAGUGUGUGACUAUGAUUUUGAUAGCAUGCAGCUGAAACUGCAACCAGCAAUGAUAUUAACUGGUGUUACUGUGUGGAAUUCCCAUGUACUCCACAUAUGACUUCUCUCUCUCCUAUCUUUAAAAUCCCAACCCUUCUUAGUGGCACCUUUGAGUCCUUCUUACAUUCUCUUACUCUUUCAGCAUUCCCAUCCUCUUGCUUCUGUAUAUGCCAUACCAUCCUCCAUGUACUCUUCUCUUCAAAAAAAGGAAAAAAAAAUCUUGUUUACCCCUAUUGCAUGUAUGACUCACAGACUACAUUUUGUUGCAAAAAUUUGUAAAUAAUAAGAACUUUUUAUCAUGA